RNAcentral lists this ribosomal RNA (125 nucleotides) under Danio rerio (zebrafish). Lineage: Eukaryota; Metazoa; Chordata; Actinopteri; Cypriniformes; Danionidae. The record is from RNAcentral.
AGCCACAGUCAUAUCACCCUGCAGCCCAUGCAUGAUAGGUUACUUACUGAAGCUGAGCAGGGCUGAGACUGGUUUGAACCUGAAUGGGAGACCACAUGGGGGAAAAAACUAGAUUGCUGUUGGAA